AGUGAAGCGGCAACAGCUCAAAUUUGAAAUCUGGCCCUUGUGGUCCGAGUUGUAAUUUGUAGAGGAUGCUUUUGGUGAGGUACCUUCCGAGUUCCCUGGAACGGGACGCCAUAGAGGGUGAGAGCCCCGUCUGGUUGGAUACCGAUCCUCUGUAAAGCUCCUUCGACGAGUCGAGUAGUUUGGGAAUGCUGCUCUAAAUGGGAGGUAUAUGUCUUCUAAAGCUAAAUAUUGGCCAGAGACCGAUAGCGCACAAGUAGAGUGAUCGAAAGAUGAAAAGCACUUUGAAAAGAGGGUUAAAUAGUACGUGAAAUUGUUGAAAGGGAAGCGCUUGUGACCAGACUUGGGCUUGGUUAAUCAUCCAGGGUUCUCCCUGGUGCACUUGGCCAGCCCAGGCCAGCAUCAGUUUGUCGCGGGGGAUAAAGGCGUUGGGAAUGUGGCUCCCUCGGGAGUGUUAUAGCCCUUCGUGUAAUACCCUGCUUUAGACUGAGGUUCGCGCAUCUGCAAGGAUGCUGGCGUAAUGGUCAUCAGCGACCCGUCUUGAAACACGGACCAAGGAGUCGUCUUCGUAUGCGAGUGUUCGGGUGUCAAACCCCUACGCGUAAUGAAAGUGAACGCAGGUGAGAGCUUCGGCGCAUCAUCGACCGAUCCUGAUGUUCUCGGAUGGAUUUGAGUAAGAGCAUACGGGGCCGGACCCGAAAGAAGGUGAACUAUGCCUGUGUAGGGUGAAGCCAGAGGAAACUCUGGUGGAGGCUCGCAGCGGUUCUGACGUGCAAAUCGAUCGUCAAACAUGGGCAUGGGGGCGAAAGACUA
Molecule: ribosomal RNA, 810 nt
Filed under: Nectria asiatica
Lineage: Eukaryota; Fungi; Ascomycota; Sordariomycetes; Hypocreales; Nectriaceae
Also listed under: 1 other name
Description: eukaryotic LSU rRNA
Rfam family: Eukaryotic large subunit ribosomal RNA
Source: RNAcentral